Podarcis lilfordi (Lilford's wall lizard) is the source of this 72-nucleotide non-coding RNA. NCBI's taxonomy places the organism in Eukaryota, Metazoa, Chordata, Lepidosauria, Squamata, Lacertidae. The record is from the annotation of a GenBank genome assembly.
GUUUCAUAGCUCAGUCAGUAGAGCAUGAGACUCUUAAUCUCAAGGUCAUGGGUUCGAUUCCCAUGUUGGGCA